UACGUAGGGGGCUAGCGUUGUCCGGAAUCAUUGGGCGUAAAGCGCGUGUAGGCGGCCCGAUAAGUCCGCUGUGAAAGUCCAGGGCUCAACCCUGGGAUGCCGGUGGAUACUGUCGGGCUCGAGUCCGGAAGAGGCGAGUGGAAUUCCUGGUGUAGCGGUGAAAUGCGCAGAUAUCAGGAGGAACACCAAUGGCGAAGGCAGCUCGCUGGGACGUAACUGACGCUGAGACGCGAAAGCGUGGGGAGCAAACAGG
This 253-nucleotide ribosomal RNA is filed under the name uncultured bacterium. RNAcentral describes it as "partial 16S ribosomal RNA". It matches the Rfam family "Bacterial small subunit ribosomal RNA", at positions 524 to 776 of the family's 1533-position model. The record is from RNAcentral.